GACGAACGCUGGCGGCGCACCUAACACAUGCAAGUCGAACGAGUGAGAGAGAGCUUGCUUUCUCGAGCGAGUGGCGAACGGGUGAGUAACGCGUGAGGAACCUGCCUCAAAGAGGGGGACAACAGUUGGAAACGACUGCUAAUACCGCAUAAGCCCACAGGUCGGCAUCGACCAGAGGGAAAAGGAGCAAUCCGCUUUGAGAUGGCCUCGCGUCCGAUUAGCUAGUUGGUGAGGUAAUGGCCCACCAAGGCGACGAUCGGUAGCCGGACUGAGAGGUUGAACGGCCACAUUGGGACUGAGACACGGCCCAGACUCCUACGGGAGGCAGCAGUGGGGAAUAUUGCACAAUGGGGGAAACCCUGAUGCAGCGACGCCGCGUGGAGGAAGAAGGUCUUCGGAUUGUAAACUCCUGUUGUUGAGGAAGAUAAUGACGGUACU
This 438-nucleotide ribosomal RNA is filed under the name uncultured bacterium. RNAcentral's name for it is "bacterial SSU rRNA". It matches the Rfam family "Bacterial small subunit ribosomal RNA", at positions 28 to 479 of the family's 1533-position model. The record is from RNAcentral.